ACGGAGAGAUUCAUCGUCACUCCGCGGCGCCACGGCGUCGGAUGGGCGCGGCCUCGGUCGCGCACACCGUGUCGCGUCGUGCGUGUCCGCGGACGGCGUGCACUUCUCUCUUAGUAAUACAUCGCGACCCGUUCGACGUCGGUCUAAGUGCCUCGGGAGUCGGCGUGGAUACCGCACCGACCGUCGCGUCGGACGGUACUAACGAAACGCUCACGCGCGCGCGUCCGGCCCGACGCAAGGUACGUCCGCGGCCCGCGUCCUGCCCGAGUGCGGACGCGGGUUCGGCGCGCCUGUCGUCGCAGCCGUGCUGUCUCGGACCGUGUGCGUAUCCGUCUGCGAUGAUUCAGUUUCGGGCACUCGCAGGACCCGUCUUGA
This 375-nucleotide ribosomal RNA is filed under the name Hylaea fasciaria. Its description in RNAcentral is "eukaryotic LSU rRNA". Lineage: Eukaryota; Metazoa; Arthropoda; Insecta; Lepidoptera; Geometridae. The record is from RNAcentral.